This 2066-nucleotide ribosomal RNA is filed under the name Vibrio cholerae. RNAcentral describes it as "partial 23S ribosomal RNA". It matches the Rfam family "Bacterial large subunit ribosomal RNA", at positions 104 to 2213 of the family's 2925-position model. Lineage: Bacteria; Pseudomonadati; Pseudomonadota; Gammaproteobacteria; Vibrionales; Vibrionaceae. The record is from RNAcentral.
UCUGCGAUUUCCGAAUGGGGAAACCCAACUGCAUAAGCAGUUACUGUUAACUGAAUACAUAGGUUAACAGAGCAAACCGGGGGAACUGAAACAUCUAAGUACCCCGAGGAGAAGAAAUCAACCGAGAUUCCGGUAGUAGCGGCGAGCGAACCUGGAUUAGCCCUUAAGCACUCGGUGAAGUAGGUGAACAAGCUGGAAAGCUUGGCGAUACAGGGUGAUAGCCCCGUAACCGACGCUUCAUCGAGCGUGAAAUCGAGUAGGGCGGGACACGUGAUAUCCUGUCUGAAUAUGGGGGGACCAUCCUCCAAGGCUAAAUACUCCUGACUGACCGAUAGUGAACCAGUACCGUGAGGGAAAGGCGAAAAGAACCCCUGUGAGGGGAGUGAAAUAGAACCUGAAACCGUGUACGUACAAGCAGUAGGAGCACCUUCGUGGUGUGACUGCGUACCUUUUGUAUAAUGGGUCAGCGACUUAUAUUCAGUGGCAAGGUUAACCGUAUAGGGGAGCCGUAGCGAAAGCGAGUCUUAACUGGGCGCUCAGUCUCUGGAUAUAGACCCGAAACCGGGUGAUCUAGCCAUGGGCAGGUUGAAGGUUGAGUAACAUCAACUGGAGGACCGAACCGACUAAUGUUGAAAAAUUAGCGGAUGACUUGUGGCUAGGGGUGAAAGGCCAAUCAAACUCGGAGAUAGCUGGUUCUCCCCGAAAGCUAUUUAGGUAGCGCCUCGGACGAAUACUACUGGGGGUAGAGCACUGUUAAGGCUAGGGGGUCAUCCCGACUUACCAACCCUUUGCAAACUCCGAAUACCAGUAAGUACUAUCCGGGAGACACACGGCGGGUGCUAACGUCCGUCGUGGAGAGGGAAACAACCCAGACCGCCAGCUAAGGUCCCAAAGUAUUGCUAAGUGGGAAACGAUGUGGGAAGGCUCAGACAGCUAGGAUGUUGGCUUAGAAGCAGCCAUCAUUUAAAGAAAGCGUAAUAGCUCACUAGUCGAGUCGGCCUGCGCGGAAGAUGUAACGGGGCUAAGCAAUACACCGAAGCUGCGGCAAUAUCUUUUAGAUAUUGGGUAGGGGAGCGUUCUGUAAGCCGUUGAAGGUGAAUCGUAAGGUUUGCUGGAGGUAUCAGAAGUGCGAAUGCUGACAUGAGUAACGACAAAGGGGGUGAAAAACCUCCUCGCCGGAAGACCAAGGGUUCCUGUCCAACGUUAAUCGGGGCAGGGUGAGUCGACCCCUAAGGUGAGGCCGAAAGGCGUAAUCGAUGGGAAACGGGUUAAUAUUCCCGUACUUCUGACUAUUGCGAUGGGGGGACGGAGAAGGCUAGGUGGGCCAGGCGACGGUUGUCCUGGUUCAAGUGCGUAGGCUUGAGAGUUAGGUAAAUCCGGCUCUCUCUAAGGCUGAGACACGACGUCGAGCUGCUACGGCAGUGAAGUCAUUGAUGCCAUGCUUCCAGGAAAAGCCUCUAAGCUUCAGAUAGUCAGGAAUCGUACCCCAAACCGACACAGGUGGUCGGGUAGAGAAUACCAAGGCGCUUGAGAGAACUCGGGUGAAGGAACUAGGCAAAAUGGUACCGUAACUUCGGGAGAAGGUACGCUCUUGAUGGUGAAGUCCCUCGCGGAUGGAGCUGACGAGAGUCGCAGAUACCAGGUGGCUGCAACUGUUUAUUAAAAACACAGCACUGUGCAAAAUCGCAAGAUGACGUAUACGGUGUGACGCCUGCCCGGUGCCGGAAGGUUAAUUGAUGGGGUUAGCGCAAGCGAAGCUCUUGAUCGAAGCCCCGGUAAACGGCGGCCGUAACUAUAACGGUCCUAAGGUAGCGAAAUUCCUUGUCGGGUAAGUUCCGACCUGCACGAAUGGCGUAAUGAUGGCCACGCUGUCUCCACCCGAGACUCAGUGAAAUUGAAAUCGCUGUGAAGAUGCAGUGUACCCGCGGCUAGACGGAAAGACCCCGUGAACCUUUACUACAGCUUGGCACUGAACAUUGAACCUACAUGUGUAGGAUAGGUGGGAGGCUAUGAAGACGUGACGCCAGUUGCGUUGGAGCCGUCCUUGAAAUACCACCCUUGUAUGU